GACGGAAGGUGCAAGCGUUAAUCGGAAUUACUGGGCGUAAAGCGUGCGCAGGCGGUGAUGUAAGGCAGAUGUGAAAUCCCCGGGCUCAACCUGGGAACUGCAUUUGUGACUGCAUCGCUGGAGUGCGGCAGAGGGGGAUGGAAUUCCGCGUGUAGCAGUGAAAUGCGUAGAUAUGCGGAGGAACACCGAUGGCGAAGGCAAUCCCCUGGGCCUGCACUGACGCUCAUGCACGAAAGCGUGGGGAGCAAACAGG
This 253-nucleotide ribosomal RNA is filed under the name uncultured bacterium. Its description in RNAcentral is "partial 16S ribosomal RNA". It matches the Rfam family "Bacterial small subunit ribosomal RNA", at positions 524 to 776 of the family's 1533-position model. The record is from RNAcentral.